GUAUAUUAACACUUCAUAUGACUGUAAGUAUAUUUGAUAAUCUUUCUUUUGUAUUGUGCUCUCCGUUGGUGUUAAUUUUUGUAUUUUUAACAGGUGAAGGAGUUAAAUUUUUGGUUCAUUUUGUCAAUCCCCGUAUGCUAAAUUUCAAAUUUUCAUUUCCUAUGUAAAAUAUAAUUUUUACUAUUAAUUGUCUGAUUGUUAGUAUAA
This 207-nucleotide unclassified non-coding RNA is filed under the name Hevea brasiliensis (rubber tree). The record is from RNAcentral. Lineage: Eukaryota; Viridiplantae; Streptophyta; Magnoliopsida; Malpighiales; Euphorbiaceae.